GACGAACGCUGGCGGCGUGCUUAACACAUGCAAGUCGAACGGAAAGGCCCUGCUUUUGUGGGGUGCUCGAGUGGCGAACGGGUGAGUAACACGUGAGUAACCUGCCCUUGACUUUGGGAUAACUUCAGGAAACUGGGGCUAAUACCGGAUAGGAGCUCCUGCUGCAUGGUGGGGGUUGGAAAGUUUCGGCGGUUGGGGAUGGACUCGCGGCUUAUCAGCUUGUUGGUGGGGUAGUGGCUUACCAAGGCUUUGACGGAUAGCCGGCCUGAGAGGGUGACCGGCCACAUUGGGACUGAGAGACGGCCCAGACUCCAACGGGAGGCAGCAGUGGGGAAUAUUGCACAAUGGGCGGAAGCCUGAUGCAGCGACGCCGCGUGCGGGAUGACGGCCUUCGGGUUGUAAACCGCUGUCGCCGGAGACGAAGCGUGAGUGACGGUAAUGGGUAAAGAAGCACCGGCUAACUACGUG
Molecule: ribosomal RNA, 468 nt
Filed under: uncultured bacterium
Lineage: Bacteria
Description: partial 16S ribosomal RNA
Rfam family: Bacterial small subunit ribosomal RNA
Source: RNAcentral